Molecule: ribosomal RNA, 2772 nt
Filed under: Escherichia coli
Lineage: Bacteria; Pseudomonadati; Pseudomonadota; Gammaproteobacteria; Enterobacterales; Enterobacteriaceae
Description: partial 23S ribosomal RNA
Rfam family: Bacterial large subunit ribosomal RNA
Source: RNAcentral
GGUUAAGCGACUAAGCGUACACGGUGGAUGCCCUGGCAGUCAGAGGCGAUGAAGGACGUGCUAAUCUGCGAUAAGCGUCGGUAAGGUGAUAUGAACCGUUAUAACCGGCGAUUUCCGAAUGGGGAAACCCAGUGUGAUUCGUCACACUAUCAUUAACUGAAUCCAUAGGUUAAUGAGGCGAACCGGGGGAACUGAAACAUCUAAGUACCCCGAGGAAAAGAAAUCAACCGAGAUUCCCCCAGUAGCGGCGAGCGAACGGGGAGCAGCCCAGAGCCUGAAUCAGUGUGUGUGUUAGUGGAAGCGUCUGGAAAGGCGCGCGAUACAGGGUGACAGCCCCGUACACAAAAAUGCACAUACUGUGAGCUCGAUGAGUAGGGCGGGACACGUGGUAUCCUGUCUGAAUAUGGGGGGACCAUCCUCCAAGGCUAAAUACUCCUGACUGACCGAUAGUGAACCAGUACCGUGAGGGAAAGGCGAAAAGAACCCCGGCGAGGGGAGUGAAAAAGAACCUGAAACCGUGUACGUACAAGCAGUGGGAGCACGCUUAGGCGUGUGACUGCGUACCUUUUGUAUAAUGGGUCAGCGACUUAUAUUCUGUAGCAAGGUUAACCGAAUAGGGGAGCCGAAGGGAAACCGAGUCUUAACUGGGCGUUAAGUUGCAGGGUAUAGACCCGAAACCCGGUGAUCUAGCCAUGGGCAGGUUGAAGGUUGGGUAACACUAACUGGAGGACCGAACCGACUAAUGUUGAAAAAUUAGCGGAUGACUUGUGGCUGGGGGUGAAAGGCCAAUCAAACCGGGAGAUAGCUGGUUCUCCCCGAAAGCUAUUUAGGUAGCGCCUCGUGAAUUCAUCUCCGGGGGUAGAGCACUGUUUCGGCAAGGGGGUCAUCCCGACUUACCAACCCGAUGCAAACUGCGAAUACCGGAGAAUGUUAUCACGGGAGACACACGGCGGGUGCUAACGUCCGUCGUGAAGAGGGAAACAACCCAGACCGCCAGCUAAGGUCCCAAAGUCAUGGUUAAGUGGGAAACGAUGUGGGAAGGCCCAGACAGCCAGGAUGUUGGCUUAGAAGCAGCCAUCAUUUAAAGAAAGCGUAAUAGCUCACUGGUCGAGUCGGCCUGCGCGGAAGAUGUAACGGGGCUAAACCAUGCACCGAAGCUGCGGCAGCGACGCUUAUGCGUUGUUGGGUAGGGGAGCGUUCUGUAAGCCUGUGAAGGUGUGCUGUGAGGCAUGCUGGAGGUAUCAGAAGUGCGAAUGCUGACAUAAGUAACGAUAAAGCGGGUGAAAAGCCCGCUCGCCGGAAGACCAAGGGUUCCUGUCCAACGUUAAUCGGGGCAGGGUGAGUCGACCCCUAAGGCGAGGCCGAAAGGCGUAGUCGAUGGGAAACAGGUUAAUAUUCCUGUACUUGGUGUUACUGCGAAGGGGGGACGGAGAAGGCUAUGUUGGCCGGGCGACGGUUGUCCCGGUUUAAGCGUGUAGGCUGGUUUUCCAGGCAAAUCCGGAAAAUCAAGGCUGAGGCGUGAUGACGAGGCACUACGGUGCUGAAGCAACAAAUGCCCUGCUUCCAGGAAAAGCCUCUAAGCAUCAGGUAACAUCAAAUCGUACCCCAAACCGACACAGGUGGUCAGGUAGAGAAUACCAAGGCGCUUGAGAGAACUCGGGUGAAGGAACUAGGCAAAAUGGUGCCGUAACUUCGGGAGAAGGCACGCUGAUAUGUAGGUGAAGUCCCUCGCGGAUGGAGCUGAAAUCAGUCGAAGAUACCAGCUGGCUGCAACUGUUUAUUAAAAACACAGCACUGUGCAAACACGAAAGUGGACGUAUACGGUGUGACGCCUGCCCGGUGCCGGAAGGUUAAUUGAUGGGGUCAGCGCAAGCGAAGCUCUUGAUCGAAGCCCCGGUAAACGGCGGCCGUAACUAUAACGGUCCUAAGGUAGCGAAAUUCCUUGUCGGGUAAGUUCCGACCUGCACGAAUGGCGUAAUGAUGGCCAGGCUGUCUCCACCCGAGACUCAGUGAAAUUGAACUCGCUGUGAAGAUGCAGUGUACCCGCGGCAAGACGGAAAGACCCCGUGAACCUUUACUAUAGCUUGACACUGAACAUUGAGCCUUGAUGUGUAGGAUAGGUGGGAGGCUUAGAAGUGUGGACGCCAGUCUGCAUGGAGCCGACCUUGAAAUACCACCCUUUAAUGUUUGAUGUUCUAACGUUGACCCGUAAUCCGGGUUGCGGACAGUGUCUGGUGGGUAGUUUGACUGGGGCGGUCUCCUCCUAAAGAGUAACGGAGGAGCACGAAGGUUGGCUAAUCCUGGUCGGACAUCAGGAGGUUAGUGCAAUGGCAUAAGCCAGCUUGACUGCGAGCGUGACGGCGCGAGCAGGUGCGAAAGCAGGUCAUAGUGAUCCGGUGGUUCUGAAUGGAAGGGCCAUCGCUCAACGGAUAAAAGGUACUCCGGGGAUAACAGGCUGAUACCGCCCAAGAGUUCAUAUCGACGGCGGUGUUUGGCACCUCGAUGUCGGCUCAUCACAUCCUGGGGCUGAAGUAGGUCCCAAGGGUAUGGCUGUUCGCCAUUUAAAGUGGUACGCGAGCUGGGUUUAGAACGUCGUGAGACAGUUCGGUCCCUAUCUGCCGUGGGCGCUGGAGAACUGAGGGGGGCUGCUCCUAGUACGAGAGGACCGGAGUGGACGCAUCACUGGUGUUCGGGUUGUCAUGCCAAUGGCACUGCCCGGUAGCUAAAUGCGGAAGAGAUAAGUGCUGAAAGCAUCUAAGCACGAAACUUGCC